RNAcentral lists this ribosomal RNA (710 nucleotides) under Phaeobacter sp. RNAcentral describes it as "bacterial SSU rRNA". It matches the Rfam family "Bacterial small subunit ribosomal RNA", at positions 37 to 795 of the family's 1533-position model. The record is from RNAcentral. Lineage: Bacteria; Pseudomonadati; Pseudomonadota; Alphaproteobacteria; Rhodobacterales; Roseobacteraceae.
CGGUGGCAGCUUACACAUGCAAGUCGAGCGCACUCUUCGGAGUGAGCGGCGGACGGGUUAGUAACGCGUGGGAACGUGCCCUUCUCUAAGGAAUAGCCACUGGAAACGGUGAGUAAUACCUUAUACGCCCUUCGGGGGAAAGAUUUAUCGGAGAAGGAUCGGCCCGCGUUAGAUUAGAUAGUUGGUGGGGUAAUGGCCUACCAAGUCUACGAUCUAUAGCUGGUUUUAGAGGAUGAUCAGCAACACUGGGACUGAGACACGGCCCAGACUCCUACGGGAGGCAGCAGUGGGGAAUCUUGGACAAUGGGCGCAAGCCUGAUCCAGCCAUGCCGCGUGAGUGAUGAAGGCCUUAGGGUCGUAAAGCUCUUUCGCCAGAGAUGAUAAUGACAGUAUCUGGUAAAGAAACCCCGGCUAACUCCGUGCCAGCAGCCGCGGUAAUACGGAGGGGGUUAGCGUUGUUCGGAAUUACUGGGCGUAAAGCGCACGUAGGCGGAUCAGAAAGUAUAGGGUGAAAUCCCAGGGCUCAACCCUGGAACUGCCUUGUAAACUCCUGGUCUUGAGUUCGAGAGAGGUGAGUGGAAUUCCGAGUGUAGAGGUGAAAUUCGUAGAUAUUCGGAGGAACACCAGUGGCGAAGGCGGCUCACUGGCUCGAUACUGACGCUGAGGUGCGAAAGUGUGGGGAGCAAACAGGAUUAGAUACCCUGGUAGUC